RNAcentral lists this ribosomal RNA (564 nucleotides) under uncultured bacterium. RNAcentral's name for it is "bacterial SSU rRNA". It matches the Rfam family "Bacterial small subunit ribosomal RNA", at positions 338 to 916 of the family's 1533-position model. The record is from RNAcentral.
CCUACGGGAGGCAGCAGUGGGGAAUUUUCCGCAAUGGGCGAAAGCCUGACGGAGCAACGCCGCGUGAGGGAUGAAGGCCUCUGGGCUGUAAACCUCUUUUAUCAAGGAAGAAGAUCUGACGGUACUUGAUGAAUAAGCCACGGCUAAUUCCGUGCCAGCAGCCGCGGUAAUACGGGAGUGGCAAGCGUUAUCCGGAAUUAUUGGGCGUAAAGCGUCCGCAGGCGGUCUUGUAAGUCUGUCGUUAAAGCGUGGAGCUCAACUCCAUUUCGGCGGUGGAAACUACAAGACUAGAGUGUGGUAGGGGCAGAGGGAAUUCCCGGUGUAGCGGUGAAAUGCGUAGAUAUCGGGAAGAACACCAGUGGCGAAGGCGCUCUGCUGGGCCAUAACUGACGCUCAUGGACGAAAGCUAGGGGAGCGAAAGGGAUUAGAUACCCCUGUAGUCCUAGCCGUAAACGAUGAACACUAGGUGUCGGGGGAAUCGACCCCCUCGGUGUCGUAGCUAACGCGUUAAGUGUUCCGCCUGGGGAGUACGCACGCAAGUGUGAACGUCAAAGGAAUUGACGG